Molecule: ribosomal RNA, 904 nt
Filed under: uncultured bacterium
Lineage: Bacteria
Description: bacterial SSU rRNA
Rfam family: Bacterial small subunit ribosomal RNA
Source: RNAcentral
AGUCGAGCGGGGAGANGUAGCUUGCUACAUUUCCUAGCGGCGGANGGGUGAGUAAUGCUUAGGAAUCUGCCUAUUAGUGGGGGACAACGUUUCGAAAGGAACGCUAAUACCGCAUACGCCCUACGGGGGAAAGCAGGGGAUCUUCGGACCUUGCGCUAAUAGAUGAGCCUAAGUCAGAUUAGCUAGUUGGUGGGGUAAAGGCCUACCAAGGCAACGAUCUGUAGCGGGUCUGAGAGGAUGAUCCGCCACACUGGGACUGAGACACGGCCCAGACUCCUACGGGAGGCAGCAGUGGGGAAUAUUGGACAAUGGGGGGAACCCUGAUCCAGCCAUGCCGCGUGUGUGAAGAAGGCCUUUUGGUUGUAAAGCACUUUAAGCGAGGAGGAGGCUCUUCUAGUUAAUACCUAGGAUGAGUGGACGUUACUCGCAGAAUAAGCACCGGCUAACUCUGUGCCAGCAGCCGCGGUAAUACAGAGGGUGCGAGCGUUAAUCGGAUUUACUGGGCGUAAAGCGUACGUAGGCGGCUUUUUAAGUCGGAUGUGAAAUCCCUGAGCUUAACUUAGGAAUUGCAUUCGAUACUGGGAAGCUAGAGUAUGGGAGAGGAUGGUAGAAUUCCAGGUGUAGCGGUGAAAUGCGUAGAGAUCUGGAGGAAUACCGAUGGCGAAGGCAGCCAUCUGGCCUAAUACUGACGCUGAGGUACGAAAGCAUGGGGAGCAAACAGGAUUAGAUACCCUGGUAGUCCAUGCCGUAAACGAUGUCUACUAGCCGUUGGGGCCUUUGAGGCUUUAGUGGCGCAGCUNACGCGAUAAGUAGACCGCCNGNGGAGUACGGUCGCNAGACUAAAACUCAAAAUGAAUUGACGGGGGCCCGCACANNCGGUGGANCAUGUGGUUUAAUUCNAUGC